RNAcentral lists this unclassified non-coding RNA (228 nucleotides) under Hevea brasiliensis (rubber tree). The record is from RNAcentral. Lineage: Eukaryota; Viridiplantae; Streptophyta; Magnoliopsida; Malpighiales; Euphorbiaceae.
AAAUAGGUCCCACUCCCACCAAGACGUUGUUUCUUACAAAUGGAAGGCUAUGCAUAACUGAGGCAAUGAUCAAACUGAGAACAUUCAUUAAAAGAAAAUCUCCUUUGAACAAUGAAUUUAGUUCGAAAUGGAUUUCUUGUAAAUUUAUAUUUCAGUACUAGUAUUUAAACAAAUAGGAUUUUGUUUCUCAGUGCAAUGCUACAUAAGAGGAAAGGCAAAGUCCGGCAU